GAAUGGGGAGCCCCCGCUGAGAGAGGUGGGGGGAGCUCGGAGCAGCCAGGCGGGAAAAGUGUGAAACCCUCCCGUUCCCCGUCCCCUCUCAUGUCUCUGCCCUCCGAAAUAACGGGGGACCGAAAAAGUUGGGGUCCGGGCCGAACGGAAAGAGGGGGGCGAUCCAGGAAGGCAUCCCUUCCCGGCGAAGGGAUUCCCUCCUACACACCCCUUUUCUCCUUCACAUCCUGCUUUCUUGCCGUCAGUGACAAAUGUUAUUCACGUGAAGGGAAGCUAUGGGAUUUCAAAGCUGAUCUGCUGAUUUGGGCUCAGCCGUGGGCCUCGUUAAACACACACGAGCGAGGGGCCGUGGUGGAUCCACAGCGCGCUGUGUGUGCCCUGAGCAUCGCACGGCACAGGCACGGGGGGGUCAGGGAGCGGGGACAGUCAGUCUAGUGUCCCCCCGGCAUGGAAUCGGCAUCAAUGCUGUCGGAACGAGGUGGUGAGCGCAUUCCGGUCAUCGCCUGCGAUCUGACGGUCUGGACUGGGAGAGGAUGGGCCACAGCCUGCGCCGGGGGACAAGGUUCGGUUCUGUCUUCUCCCGCACAGGGGUGUGAAAAGGGGGCUCUGAUGUCCUGUAGGAGUCGAGGGAGGUACGGUGACAGCCCUCCAUCCCGCUUUAAAACUGUGUUGCCCUGGUGGCCAGACCUCCCCAGGUCCCACAGCACGGCAACCGAGGAGCAGCGGUCUGGCAUCGCCCUGCCUCUGUUUCUAGAUUGCCCUGUUGCUACUGAAAAGAUGGGGAACAGGAGUUCUGUGUGCUGUCAGGGCACGGGUAUCUGCGUGUCUGCCCUGCUGGAUGUCCCGCGGCUGGGACGGGCUGCCCGCUCAGCCCUCCUCCUUGUCAACAGGCGUGUAAGCAUCCCAUCUGCGAGGUUUUGACGAGCAUGCUGGUGUUCCGGCUGGGGGGUUCCGGCAGCGCUGGGACCGGCGUCAGCAGCACUGUCCGUCUGUCCGUCCGUCCCUCGGCGCGGUGCGGUGCAGUGGGGAGACGCGGUGCCGCCAGUGAGGGAGUGGGACGAGGACAGCGAUAUGUUGUACAGGGCAAAAAUGAGCGAGAACCGUCGUUCUGGUGUCAAAAUAGUCAUCGCGGUUCCGGGUGUUACCAGAACAGAAGAACAGCACCCUUUCCUGAAGGACAAGUGGACAAAGGCCGCCACCACGUCUAUCCUAGAACCUCUGCAGCCCGUCGGUUCUGUCGCUCCUUCUAAUCCUUAUUUCUCCGCCGUGCGAGUGAAAGCGGCGCUCAGAUAACAUGCUCAGUCCUUUGCCUGAGAUACCUACGCUGAGAAAAACAACUGGAAAUUUUUAUCCUAUUGACGAGCGGAGAAAUUUACACUCGGGUUUUACUACCUGGGAGAUGUAGCCGAGUUUUGUGUAUUUCCCUCCGUGUGCAUCACUGGCACCUCUUGGCACGGCAGAUAAAACACGCGAGGGGAAGGCAUGUCAAGCGUCAUUUUACAACUGCCUUUAGCGGCAAAGCUACUUUUAAAUUUAAAUAUUUUAAGUACAGGAGCCCAGAGCGCCCACUGGGAAAAAAAUAAAAUUAAAAUAAUAUUAAAAAAAAAAACAAACCACCAAAACCUCAACACACACAACAUAUCCUGUCCUUAUAUUUCUUUCUGAAGUCAUUUCCUGGAAGUGCAGAAGAAACGUCCUGUGAGAGACAGACGGGUAAGUUUUCUAUCACAGACGUUUAUGUCUUCUAUCACAGACUGUUGAGAUAUGAGAAAACUACAGAUUCCUAAGAGAAGAAAUAGGAAGGCAAUUAUAGAAAGGCAUCGUCUUGCAGAAAGUUCGGCUAAUGAACUACCAAAAUCGAAAAAAGACCGAAAAAAAGAAAAAAAAAAAAAGAAAAAAAAAGAAAAUCUGAAAAAGGAGGGGUGGUUAUCCAAUCAAACACAACCUCUAACUUCUCGGAAGUGCAUCUUCUUCCUGACAGCCUACUGCGUUUAGAGCUCUUCACUCCAUUCGUGGUAAAAAUUGCAUAAAAAUUGCAUUUCUGUGACAUAAAACUUUCGUUUUCGUUACUUUCAUAAAAGAGGAAGGGAGAAUCGGGGGAAGAUAAAAGCUUCCUACGGUCGCUGACAAGAGCUUCCGAGAAAAAGAUCUUCCCAUGCAACGCCGGUACAAAUUCAAUACUGCAGGGAGGAAUACCAAAAUAUUGUCGUUCCCUGAGAUAUUGCAGUCCCCUCGCUCCGCCCCCCGCGUUUCGUAAGCCUGACUCCUCUUCAGACUAGAGAAGACACAGACAGACACCGUAUUUUGAUCCCGGCAAACAACAUGCGAAGCACGGUGUGGGGAGGGGAAGGAGGCGACAAUUACUGCACCCCACCCCCUGUGGGGAGGAUGGUGGAGGAGUAGAGACGGGGCAGAAAGCCGAGAGUGAUGCCUGUCACCCUAGGGAUGCUCAACCUGCAGAGCAUCCUUCUUCCCACUAGGGACCGGAUUCACGGGAAACAACGAAAUAACCGUGCGUUUCAAGCCUUGUCUUUCCGAUGACUUAUUUUACACCUAGGCAUUAACUGGAUAACUACGUAACUAUAAUAAAAGAGCAGAAACGGCA
This is a non-coding RNA of Cyanistes caeruleus (blue tit), 2605 nucleotides long. Lineage: Eukaryota; Metazoa; Chordata; Aves; Passeriformes; Paridae. The record is from RefSeq and is a predicted model, not a curated record.